This 253-nucleotide ribosomal RNA is filed under the name uncultured bacterium. RNAcentral's name for it is "partial 16S ribosomal RNA". It matches the Rfam family "Bacterial small subunit ribosomal RNA", at positions 524 to 776 of the family's 1533-position model. The record is from RNAcentral.
UACAGAGGGUGCGAGCGUUAAUCGGAAUUACUGGGCGUAAAGCGCACGUAGGCGGACUCUUAAGUCGGUGGUGAAAUCCUGGAGCUCAACUCCAGAACUGCCUUCGAUACUGAGAGUCUCGAGUCCGGGAGAGGUGAGUGGAACUGCGAGUGUAGAGGUGAAAUUCGUAGAUAUUCGCAAGAACACCAGUGGCGAAGGCGGCUCACUGGCCCGGUACUGACGCUGAGGUGCGAAAGCGUGGGGAGCAAACAGG